Non-coding RNA from Brassica napus (rape), 125 nucleotides. The record is from Rfam. Lineage: Eukaryota; Viridiplantae; Streptophyta; Magnoliopsida; Brassicales; Brassicaceae.
AGAAAAUAAGAAACCGUCUCUUAACUUUUAAAUUAAAAAGCUAAGAACCGGUUCUUAAAUAAGAUAUUUAAGAACCGGUUCUUAGCUUUUUAAGUUAAAAAUUAAGAAACGGUUUCUUAUUUUAU